AUGGAGGACUUCUACCGGGAGAUCUACGCCAUCGACAGGGUCCACCACAUCGACUUCCCCCAGCACUACCCCGUCUCCUGCCUCCUUGGUCCGUAUCCAUCAUCUUCCUUGCUAGUUACCGCCACUGCUGUUGUUCCUCUCAGCUUGCUGACGCCAUUGCCGGUUAUUGCUCAGGAUGCGUCGAGGUGGUCGGCUGUGUCAGCAACUGGCUUACCAGUACGCCGCCAAGGGGGCAUGCCUUGCCUUGGUAGCAAGGAGGAGUGGAGCCUGUGGCAGGUCGCCGACCGCGCCUUCGAGCUCGGCGCGCCGAACGUGAUCAUUCUCCCCGGGGACGUCGCAGACCCCGGCGACUACGACAUAUUUGUUCAGGCCACAAUCGACCACUACAGCCAAUGUAAGUCAUCCCCUCUCUGUUACAACUAA
RNAcentral lists this ribosomal RNA (423 nucleotides) under Triticum aestivum (bread wheat). RNAcentral describes it as "partial small subunit ribosomal RNA". Lineage: Eukaryota; Viridiplantae; Streptophyta; Magnoliopsida; Poales; Poaceae. The record is from RNAcentral.